RNAcentral lists this ribosomal RNA (303 nucleotides) under uncultured bacterium. Its description in RNAcentral is "bacterial SSU rRNA". It matches the Rfam family "Bacterial small subunit ribosomal RNA", at positions 213 to 507 of the family's 1533-position model. The record is from RNAcentral.
UCAUGCUCGUGGAGCGGCCGAUAUCUGAUUAGCUAGUUGGUAGGGUAAAAGCCUACCAAGGCAUCGAUCAGUAGCUGGUCUGAGAGGACGACCAGCCACACUGGGACUGAGACACGGCCCAGACUCCUACGGGAGGCAGCAGUGGGGAAUUUUGGACAAUUGGGCGCAAGCCUGAUCCAGCAAUGCCGCGUGAGUGAAGAAGGCCUUCGGGUUGUAAAGCUCUUUUGUCAGGGAAGAAACGGGUUGAGCUAAUAUCUUGGCCUAAUGACGGUACCUGAAGAAUAAGCACCGGCUAACUACGUG